AAGUCGUAACAAGGUUUCCGUAGGUGAACCUGCGGAAGGAUCAUUAAAGAUUCUUCGGAUGUGCGCUCCGGCUGCACUCCGAAUCCAACCUCACACACCCGUGCGCCUCGAGCGAGGGGUUACACCCCCCGCCCGCCUUUCACAUCACACAAGUAAACCCGAAUGUCGUAUACCAUAAACUUAAUACAACUUUCAACAACGGAUCUCUUGGCUCUC
RNAcentral lists this unclassified non-coding RNA (216 nucleotides) under fungal sp. RNAcentral's name for it is "partial internal transcribed spacer region". The stretch from base 1 to 46 matches the Rfam family "Eukaryotic small subunit ribosomal RNA", at positions 1786 to 1831 of the family's 1831-position model. The record is from RNAcentral. Lineage: Eukaryota; Fungi.